GACGAACGCUGGCGGCGUGCCUAAUACAUGCAAGUUGAGCGCUGAAGGUUGGUACUUGUACCGACUGGAUGAGCAGCGAACGGGUGAGUAACGCGUGGGGAAUCUGCCUUUGAGCGGGGGACAACAUUUGGAAACGAAUGCUAAUACCGCAUAAAAACUUUAAACACAAGUUUUAAGUUUGAAAGGUGCAAUUGCAUCACUCAAAGAUGAUCCCGCGUUGUAUUAGCUAGUUGGUGAGGUAAAGGCUCACCAAGGCGAUGAUACAUAGCCGACCUGAGAGGGUGAUCGGCCACAUUGGGACUGAGACACGGCCCAAACUCCUACGGGAGGCAGCAGUAGGGAAUCUUCGGCAAUGGACGAAAGUCUGACCGAGCAACGCCGCGUGAGUGAAGAAGGUUUUCGGAUCGUAAAACUCUGUUGGUAGAGAAGAACGUUGGUGAGAGUGGAAAGCUCAUCAAGUGACGGUAACUACCCAGAAAGGGACGGCUAACUACGUG
This 497-nucleotide ribosomal RNA is filed under the name uncultured bacterium. RNAcentral describes it as "partial 16S ribosomal RNA". It matches the Rfam family "Bacterial small subunit ribosomal RNA", at positions 28 to 507 of the family's 1533-position model. The record is from RNAcentral.